Molecule: long non-coding RNA, 356 nt
Organism: Myodes glareolus (Bank vole)
Lineage: Eukaryota; Metazoa; Chordata; Mammalia; Rodentia; Cricetidae
Source: RefSeq, a predicted model, not a curated record
UGACACUGUGAGGUAAGUAAUGUGCCGGCCAUCACUUUAUGGGAAAGAAACUGAGGGCAGACUGCCACGCUCUGAGCCCCAUGUCCUCGGCGUCUCUCACUAUUGUGACCUCACUGGUUCUGGCACCAGCCCUUCCUACUAAGGAACAAGACCACAAAUUAGUCCAAUCCCGUCUCAAUCUCUCAUUUCCCAGCACAGAGAAGAAUGAGAUGGAAAAGCCAAAUCCCCCCACCCCCUAGUUGUAACUCUGGCAUCUUGCCCAUCAUCCAUGGCUUUCGUUGGAACCUGGUGAACCAGUACCAAUUUCUCAACACACAACGGAAUAAAUUCAGCUCAAAUUUUUUUGAGAAAUAAAG